CAGAAGUGGCGAGCGUUGUUCGGAAUUACUGGGCUUAAAGGGCGCGUAGGCGGUGGUACAAGUCUGAGGUGGAAUACUACAGCUUAACUGUGGAACUGCCUUGGAAACUGUAUUACUUGAGUUAGGCAGGGGAAGGCGGAAUUUCUGGUGUAGCGGUGAUAUGCGUAGAUAUCUSGAGGAAGGCCUGUGGCCAAGGCGGCGUUCUGGGCCUUAACUGACGCUGAGACGCGAAAGCGUGGGGAGCAAACAGGAUUAGAUACCCUGGUAGUCCACGCCCUAAACGGUGGGCACUAGGUGUGGGAUUCGUAAGGGUUACGUGCCGAAGGGAAACCAUUAAGUGCCCCGCCUGGGGAGUCCGGCCGCAAGGUUGAAACUCAAAGGAAUUGACGGGGGCCCGCACAAGCGGUGGAGCAUGUGGUUUAAUUCGACGCAACGCGAAGAACGUUACCUGGGUUUGACAUGUACGUGGUAAGAGCCUGAAAGGGGGAUGACCCUGGGGUAACCUAGGGAGCGUACACAGGUGCUGC
This 527-nucleotide ribosomal RNA is filed under the name uncultured Nitrospirota bacterium. RNAcentral's name for it is "bacterial SSU rRNA". It matches the Rfam family "Bacterial small subunit ribosomal RNA", at positions 526 to 1044 of the family's 1533-position model. The record is from RNAcentral. Lineage: Bacteria; Pseudomonadati; Nitrospirota.